CUAUGCGAUCAUACCAGCACUAAAGCACCGGAUCCCAUCAGAACUCUGAAGUUAAGCGUGCUUGGGCGAGAGUAGUACUAGGAUGGGUGACCUCCUGGGAAGUCCUCGUGUUGCAUUCC
This 119-nucleotide ribosomal RNA is filed under the name Triticum aestivum (bread wheat). The record is from RNAcentral. Lineage: Eukaryota; Viridiplantae; Streptophyta; Magnoliopsida; Poales; Poaceae.